Non-coding RNA from Bemisia tabaci, 385 nucleotides. NCBI's taxonomy places the organism in Eukaryota, Metazoa, Arthropoda, Insecta, Hemiptera, Aleyrodidae. The record is from RefSeq and is a predicted model, not a curated record.
AUUUACUACACUCUUUGGUUGAGAGGAAUUCAACAUAAGUUUUACAAAACCCUCUACACAUACCCUGUAGAUCCGAAAUUUGUCUUUAGAAAUUCGACAAAUUCGGUUCUAGAGAGGUUUGUGUGGUAUUUUAGACUGCCAUCUCACCUCCAGUUGUAUACACUCAUGGCUUUGCACAAGUGAAUUUUCAGAUUCAAACGGCGGCACGCUGAUCAAGCACUGAGGAUACAACUAUUUUAACGCCUGGGAUAUUUUCUUGCCUACUCUUUCAAAUGAAGGCAACUUAUUUCCUGCACUUACUUAAAACCUCGUUUUAUGCUCGGAAUUCGGUACUUACGUCUGCCUUUUUAUACUGGUGAGUCAAAUAUAGAUACUUCUUUAAAAA